CCGAGUUUACAACUCCCAAACCCCUGUGAACAUACCUAUCGUUGCUUCGGCGGGAUCGUCCCAGUUUGUCACAAAUCUGGACCCAGGCGCCCGCCGGAGGACCCAAACUCUUGUUUUAUUAAGUAUCUUCUGAGUAAACAAGCAAAUAAAUUA
RNAcentral lists this unclassified non-coding RNA (153 nucleotides) under uncultured Fusarium. RNAcentral's name for it is "sequence contains ITS1". The record is from RNAcentral. Lineage: Eukaryota; Fungi; Ascomycota; Sordariomycetes; Hypocreales; Nectriaceae.